CUGGCUUCUCAGCCUUUUGGCUAAGAUCAAGUGUAUUAUCUGUUCUUAUCAGUUUGAUGUUCAGUAACAUAUUCUGAGCCUUACAGAUGUCCGAGUUUGAAGGUUAGCUGGUGUACUCUUAACACUGGAAAGCCUUGUGCAAGAAAAAUAUCUUGAAAAGGACUGAUGUGGUAACCUCCU
Molecule: small nuclear RNA, 180 nt
Filed under: Chrysolophus pictus (golden pheasant)
Lineage: Eukaryota; Metazoa; Chordata; Aves; Galliformes; Phasianidae
Description: U2 spliceosomal RNA (ENSCPIG00010014093.1)
Rfam family: U2 spliceosomal RNA
About the family: U2 is a small nuclear RNA (snRNA) component of the spliceosome (involved in pre-mRNA splicing). Complementary binding between U2 snRNA (in an area lying towards the 5' end but 3' to hairpin I) and the branchpoint sequence (BPS) of the intron results the bulging out of an unpaired adenosine, on the BPS, which initiates a nucleophilic attack at the intronic 5' splice site, thus starting the first of two transesterification reactions that mediate splicing.
Source: Rfam by way of RNAcentral